GUCCAGACUCCUACGGGAGGCAGCAGUGGGGAAUAUUGCACAAUGGGGGAAACCCUGAUGCAGCGACGCCGCGUGAGUGAAGAAGUAUUUCGGUAUGUAAAGCUCUAUCAGCAGGGAAGAAAAUGACGGUACCUGACUAAGAAGCCCCGGCUAACUACGUGCCAGCAGCCGCGGUAAUACGUAGGGGGCAAGCGUUAUCCGGAUUUACUGGGUGUAAAGGGAGCGUAGACGGCAUGGCAAGUCAGAUGUGAAAGCCCGGGGCUCAACCCCGGGACUGCAUUUGAAACUGUCAGGCUGGAGUGCAGGAGAGGUAAGUGGAAUUCCUAGUGUAGCGGUGAAAUGCGUAGAUAUUAGGAGGAACACCAGUGGCGAAGGCGGCUUACUGGACUGUAACUGACGUUGAGGCUCGAAAGCGUGGGGAGCAAACAGGAUUAGAUACCCUGGUAC
This 447-nucleotide ribosomal RNA is filed under the name uncultured bacterium. Its description in RNAcentral is "bacterial SSU rRNA". It matches the Rfam family "Bacterial small subunit ribosomal RNA", at positions 329 to 793 of the family's 1533-position model. The record is from RNAcentral.